CUCCAAGCCAGACAUUUAAAAAUGGGCACCUACUUUGAGGCCACUGGGAGCAACAUCAAAGGGGGUGGUAACAGCAUGUUGCUCGCGAACUACUGUUGGGGAUGAGUGGGCUAUGGAUGUAGAAAGAAUUAAUUGCCAAUAUGGAGAAAUAGAAAUAGAGGGUAAUGGUCCCAGCAGUGUUGUCUUUAGGUCUGGUGCCACCCUAGGCCCCCCAACUUGCAGAAGUGACAUCUCAGAAUAGGUCAACGUUUCAGUCUCAUUCUAAGACCUUUCUCAAGACCACUUAUAUAUAAGUACUUUUCCUAGACAGUGGGGAUUUAAGCUCAUUAGUAAGGUUAAGGUAAGUCAGACCAUGAGGGGCAUAGGGCUCACCAAAAUGGGACCUCCCCAUUUCAAAAUUUCCAGUGUGCUCCAAAAUUGGUUACAUUCGCUGGUGUCAUAACUUGUGAGCAGAGCACAGAUAAGUGGGAAUGCUGGUUGGAAGCCAAAGCUGGGAGCUCAGAUGCAUAUGUAUGUAACUUUUUCCAAUUGUUAUUGGAAUGCUCUCCUGAGUCCAUCAUUUCACUUACCCUCUGCAGAUGAUUAGCACUGAAUGUCGCCUCAAAUGUGACACCUUCCUUUGGAUUAAAGGGCAACUAACCAGUAUGAUUAUCCCGCAGAAUGGUUCUUCGAUCAGGCUCUUUAUACACACUCACAGCUCUGUCACUGCUGUUCAGCGGCGGGAUGAAGAGAUAGACGCAACACAGGAGGAUAAGGAAAAGUUUCAGAAUAAGAGGGGGCACAGUGAUGAAAUCUGAGUUGUGCAGGAAAGAUAAAUGAAAGAUGUGUUCAGAAAUAACAGGUGUUGUCGGCCCCCUAUAAGAUCUUAAUCAUUAAGGAUCUUGCUACUAUACAGGCAUGUAACAAAGCAAAGGAAUGUGGAGUGGGCCCUCCUGUGAAAUAUCUGUCACCUGGGAAGAAAAGGGUUAAGAGUCUGGGACCUGCUGUAAAUAAAUGCUGGUAGCCAAGCUCUCGUGUUUAAGGGUAACCCUCAGUCUGAGCCAAUUACAUGUGCCCCGAGCUGUGUUUAAUGGGGCAGCAGUGAGGUCCAGUGACAGUGACGCUGAUGUGCAAUGACAGUGUCCUAUGGCUGUCCCCAGGGUUAUGUGAACUCCUCUGCCUUCCUUAUUUACUCAUCUGCAUGGGCUGGCAGCGAUGCCCACUGGUGCGAGGCUCUGCCUCAUCUUCCUACCCAAGCGCAGACCUUCUUACAGGCUGUGCAAGGGAAGCUCGAUGGCGUGCAGUAAGGAGAGGAGAUCUGAAUUGAAAUUCUAUUAGAUACAUUAAAUAAAGUAGGGUAACCAUAGUAAGUUAUUAUGUAUGUGCUGAAGGUCCCUUUUAAUGGUUUUCUAAUGAGCAAGAUGGGCCUUCCCAUGUAGGAAUAAAGAUGUAAGGUCCGUGUAAGACUCGUCAUGUGCUAGAAUAACAUGGUUUAGUAGUGGGUGAGGACUUGAUGAGCAGUCAUAGCUAAGAUAGCUUCAACAUAGAAGAAUUGCUUUCUAAAUUAUUCUCAAUGCAGAAGAACCAUCUUGUAUCAAGACAACUGAAAUGUGCAUCAUCAGUUAGGGCGGCCAUACACAUACUUAUAAAAUGCUGGGAAGACAGUCCCAACCAGUAUCUCCGUGCCAUGUGUGUGGGUUGGCUUGUUGUUCAGACAUGUUGGAGAAUGUGGUCUGCCGAUGCACCAUAUCUGCCAGUGCACGGUGUGUUGGGAAAUUAGCAGAUGGAGGGGUCACAACUGUUUGAUGAACAACCUUAACAAUAAAAAUAUGGGCCUAAAAUUAAUGGACACUUGUAUGGUAUCUGUCUGUUUAGCCAUGGGCUUAUUGGUCAGAUAAUCAGGUCACAUUAUCAGGCAGUGUAUGGCUACCUUAAAGUAACAGUAACACCAAAGAAUG
Long non-coding RNA from Xenopus tropicalis (tropical clawed frog), 1937 nucleotides. RefSeq lists it as uncharacterized. The transcript has 4 exons. Lineage: Eukaryota; Metazoa; Chordata; Amphibia; Anura; Pipidae. The record is from RefSeq and is a predicted model, not a curated record.